UGAACGCUGGCGGCAUGCUUACACAUGCAAGUCGAACGGUAACAGGUCUUCGGAUGCUGACGAGUGGCGAACGGGUGAGUAAUACAUCGGAACGUGCCCGAGAGUGGGGGAUAACGAAGCGAAAGCUUUGCUAAUACCGCAUACGAUCUCAGGAUGAAAGCAGGGGACCGCAAGGCCUUGCGCUCACGGAGCGGCCGAUGGCAGAUUAGGUAGUUGGUGGGAUAAAAGCUUACCAAGCCGACGAUCUGUAGCUGGUCUGAGAGGACGACCAGCCACACUGGGACUGAGACACGGCCCAGACUCCUACGGGAGGCAGCAGUGGGGAAUUUUGGACAAUGGGCGCAAGCCUGAUCCAGCCAUGCCGCGUGCAGGAUGAAGGCCUUCGGGUUGUAAACUGCUUUUGUACGGAACGAAAAGACUCUGGUUAAUACCUGGGGUCCAUGACGGUACCGUAAGAAUAAGCACCGGCUAACUACGUGCCAGCAGCCGCGGUAAUACGUAGGGUGCGAGCGUUAAUCGGAAUUACUGGGCGUAAAGCGUGCGCAGGCGGUUAUGUAAGACAGAUGUGAAAUCCCCGGGCUCAACCUGGGAACUGCAUUUGUGACUGCAUAGCUAGAGUACGGCAGAGGGGGAUGGAAUUCCGCGUGUAGCAGUGAAAUGCGUAGAUAUGCGGAGGAACACCGAUGGCGAAGGCAAUCCCCUGGGCCUGUACUGACGCUCAUGCACG
RNAcentral lists this ribosomal RNA (727 nucleotides) under uncultured beta proteobacterium. RNAcentral describes it as "bacterial SSU rRNA". It matches the Rfam family "Bacterial small subunit ribosomal RNA", at positions 30 to 755 of the family's 1533-position model. The record is from RNAcentral. Lineage: Bacteria; Pseudomonadati; Pseudomonadota; Betaproteobacteria.